GCCCAGGUGGCGAAAUCGGUAGACGCAGCGGAUUCAAAAUCCGCCGGGUAAAACCGUGUCGGUUCGAGUCCGACCCUGGGCACCA
RNAcentral lists this transfer RNA (85 nucleotides) under Pseudaeromonas sharmana. Its description in RNAcentral is "tRNA-Leu". It matches the Rfam family "tRNA". Rfam says of the family: Transfer RNA (tRNA) molecules are approximately 80 nucleotides in length. Their secondary structure includes four short double-helical elements and three loops (D, anti-codon, and T loops). The record is from RNAcentral. Lineage: Bacteria; Pseudomonadati; Pseudomonadota; Gammaproteobacteria; Aeromonadales; Aeromonadaceae. RNAcentral also lists the same sequence under 2 other names.